Molecule: ribosomal RNA, 253 nt
Filed under: uncultured bacterium
Lineage: Bacteria
Description: partial 16S ribosomal RNA
Rfam family: Bacterial small subunit ribosomal RNA
Source: RNAcentral
UACGGAGGGUGCAAGCGUUAUCCGGAAUCACUGGGUUUAAAGGGUGCGUAGGCGGAUUUUCAAGUCAGAAGUGAAAGCUUCCCGCUCAACGGGAAAAUGGCCUUUGAUACUGUUAAUCUUGAGUACAGUUGAGGUGGGCGGAAUGUGUGGUGUAGCGGUGAAAUGCUUAGAUAUCACACAGAACACCGAUUGCGAAGGCAGCUCACUAAACUGUUACUGACGCUGAGGCACGAAAGCGUGGGGAGCAAACAGG